RNAcentral lists this ribosomal RNA (48 nucleotides) under Trichomonas tenax. Its description in RNAcentral is "partial 28S ribosomal RNA". Lineage: Eukaryota; Parabasalia; Trichomonadida; Trichomonadidae. The record is from RNAcentral.
UACGUUGUCUGCUAUACGCAGGAAGACCCGCUGAACUUGAAGCAAAAA